CAGUAGCCGCGGGAAUACGUAGGGUGCGAGCGUUAAUCGGAAUUACUGGGCGUAAAGCGAGCGCAGACGGUUAUUUAAGCAGGAUGUGAAAUCCCCGGGCUUAACCUGGGAACUGCGUUCUGAACUGGAUAGCUAGAGUGUGUCAGAGGGGGGUAGAAUUCCACGUGAAGCAGUGAAAUGCGUAGAGACGUGGAGGAAUACCGAUGGCGAAGGCAGCCCCCUGGGAUAACACUGACGUUCAUGCUCGAAAGCGUGGGUAGCAAACAGGAUUAGAUACCCCGGUAGUCCCUGUCUCUUAUAC
This 301-nucleotide ribosomal RNA is filed under the name uncultured bacterium. RNAcentral's name for it is "partial 16S ribosomal RNA". It matches the Rfam family "Bacterial small subunit ribosomal RNA", at positions 509 to 807 of the family's 1533-position model. The record is from RNAcentral.